RNAcentral lists this ribosomal RNA (468 nucleotides) under uncultured bacterium. RNAcentral describes it as "partial 16S ribosomal RNA". It matches the Rfam family "Bacterial small subunit ribosomal RNA", at positions 28 to 507 of the family's 1533-position model. The record is from RNAcentral.
GACGAACGCUGGCGGCGUGCUUAACACAUGCAAGUCGAACGGAAAGGCCCUGCUUUUGUGGGGUGCUCGAGUGGCGAACGGGUGAGUAACACGUGAGUAACCUGCCCUUGACUUUGGGAUAACUUCAGGAAACUGGGGCUAAUACCGGAUAGGAGCUCCUGCUGCAUGGUGGGGGUUGGAAAGUUUCGGCGGUUGGGGAUGGACUCGCGGCUUAUCAGCUUGUUGGUGGGGUAGUGGCUUACCAAGGCUUUGACGGGUAGCCGGCCUGAGAGGGUGACCGGCCACAUUGGGACUGAGAUACGGCCCAGACUCCUACGGGAGGCAGAAGUGGGGAAUAUUGAAAAAUGGGCGGAAGCCUGAUGCAGCAACGCCGAGUGCGGGAUGACGGCCUUCGGGUUGUAAACCGCUUUCGCCUGUGACGAAGCGUGAGUGACGGUAAUGGGUAAAGAAGCACCGGCUAACUACGUG